GUUUCCUCUCUGUUGUUGUUCACUUACUUUCAAGCCUUUUCUUACUGUCAGUGUCUUUAACGUUGUUAUUAUAUUUCUUUAGGUGAAGAUGUGAAAACAACUAAAUCAACAACAGUGAAGUUCACCACAAAAACAUCAUCGACAACAAAAUCCACAACAUCAACAAUUAAACCAACCGUGAAAAUAAACACAUGGACAACAAGAGAGGAAUUAAAGACAUCAGCAGGGACACUGACAACAGCACCAAAUAUUCCACCUGGAGGUAGAGACUGAAUCUCUCUUUUUUUGAAGUCUGGAUGUCAGACUGAGACUUGACUAUGUGUGGAGAAUUUCAGUAUCAUGUUUAACAUGUUUUAAUAAUCUCUCCAGGUCAUUCAGGGUUUAUCAUCGUUCCUGUGGGUUUAGCAGCUCUCUUAAUAACUGUUGUGGUGAUCAUCAGAUGGAAGAAAACUAAAGGUGAAAACAUUUACAGAUCAAAGUUUAUGAUAAGUUGACUCAUAAGUAAACUCAUCUUUUUUUCUCUUUUCAGAAAACAAAACACAAUGUGGCAACAACACGGUGAGUACAAAUCUUCCAAUAAGUUCUUAUUCAAUCAUUUAUGUCAUCAUCUUUGAACUCUAUAGUUUUAUACCAGACUGAGUCUUUAAAUGACCUUUAGUGAUGAGUUCAGUGUAUAAAAGAUUCAAAGAUUGAAAGGAAGAAAAAUCAUUUGCAAAUAAGUUGAAUCCGUCAAUUAAAUAUUCUUCAGGUCAAAGUUGUUGUUUACAUUGAACAGAUUUUAAAUAUAAAACUGUAUUUUUGCAGGGACUGAGCCUAAACCCUGCAGACACUGAAUCUGGUCCAGGAACCAAUCAGGACACGAUGUGGACUGAUGCUGAUGAUGGUGUGUCAUAUGCCUCCAUCAGCUUCACCAAGAAGACCAAGAAUAAAGCCCGGGCUGGUGAUGAUGAUGACACUGUGACUUACAGCACAGUGACAGCUGCCUCACCUGCUGGUGUUACCAAUGAUGCCAGUGACCUCUAUUCCACCAUCAACAAACCAAAGAAAUAGGAUGUUACUCAUAAAAUGUUUAUUUUGUUUUGGAUAAUGCAUCAAUGUUUGGAUGAUAGAGUAACUUCCUUUGUGUUCCUUUUGAAGUAAUGCUGUUUGAUUUAUUUGUUUGGUGUAAUCCAAAGGUAAGUACACCAUCGAUCAAGCAGUGGUGUGCAUGAGUGUGAAUUGUGUCAGAAUCAGUUACUGCAGUAAGUACCAUGAAAUUUAAAAAAAUAUAUAUCAUAAGUGUUGCUCGCUUAAGGACAUUAAUAUAUCUAAAUAUUCAUCUUUUAUUUGAUUUCUUCACAAAAAAUGUUUAGUGAACUACUUAACCUCAGUUAAUACAUCAUGUAACUCCUUAGUUACUGAAGAAAUAUUAAAACAUGUAACUGACUGUAUAUUUGUACUGAGGCAACAAUCGUUAUGCUUCAGGAUUGGCCUGGAAAUGAAGAAGACUUGACUUUUACUGUAAUCUAGAAUUUACCUGUAUAUCAAAUGACGCACUGCACAGAAUUUUAUUAUUAAAAUUUAAAAAAAAAAAAUCAUGAAUGACAUUUUUAACAAUACAAAAAGGGACGUAAAACUAGGGUUGAGAGGUGUAUCUCACUGUAUCUAUGAUGAUACUAAACUUUCUGUUUGUGAUAUUCAAAAAUCAUCUUUGACAGCAAAAAAACUCAGUUUCAGUUUUAGGACACUUUAAAAACAUAAAAAGAAAAGAAUAUGAGUUACUAUAACAUGUGUGAUUGUGCACACUUAGUUUUAAAGAUUAGUGUGAACCAAAAUCCUCAAGUUGUAGAUGCUGUUCAAGGGCUCUGAUGCUAAAAGGCUAACUUUCUUAUUGUGCUGUGCUGACUGGCUUUCCAGCUUCUUCAUAAGUACAGUUUGAACAUUUUUAGUGGACG
Molecule: long non-coding RNA, 1934 nt
Filed under: Oreochromis niloticus (Nile tilapia)
Lineage: Eukaryota; Metazoa; Chordata; Actinopteri; Cichliformes; Cichlidae
Description: lncRNA (ENSONIG00000026828.2)
Source: RNAcentral